UGCUAGGGGAGCUGGCGCACGUCGGCUGAGAGGGCAUCCAUUGCGGUGCCGACCCUUACACCUGAUCUGGGUAAUGCCAGCGUAGGGAUGGGCGAU
This 96-nucleotide non-coding RNA is filed under the name bovine gut metagenome. The record is from RNAcentral.